AUACGGAGGGAGCAAGCGUUGUUCGGAAUCAUUGGGCGUAAAGCGCGCGUAGGCGGCUUGGUAAGUCGGGUGUGAAAGCCCGGGGCUCAACCCCGGAACUGCAUUCGAAACUGCCAGGCUAGAGUCUCGGAGAGGAGGGCGGAAUUCCCGGUGUAGAGGUGAAAUUCGUAGAUAUCGGGAGGAACACCAGUGGCGAAGGCGGCCCUCUGGACGAUGACUGACGCUGAGGUGCGAAAGCGUGGGGAGCAAACAGGAUUAGAAACCCCAGUAGUCC
RNAcentral lists this ribosomal RNA (274 nucleotides) under uncultured bacterium. RNAcentral's name for it is "partial 16S ribosomal RNA". It matches the Rfam family "Bacterial small subunit ribosomal RNA", at positions 523 to 796 of the family's 1533-position model. The record is from RNAcentral.